Molecule: unclassified non-coding RNA, 395 nt
Filed under: soil metagenome
Description: partial contains 5.8S ribosomal RNA, internal transcribed spacer 2, and large subunit ribosomal RNA
Rfam family: 5.8S ribosomal RNA (bases 1-122)
Source: RNAcentral
GAUGAAGAACGUAGCGAAAUGCGAUACUUGGUGUGAAUUGCAGAAUCCCGUGGACCAUCGAGUCUUUGAACGCAAGUUGCGCCCGAAGCCAUCAGGUUGAGGGCACGUCUGCCUGGGCGUCACAUAUCGUUGCCCAAUGCCUAUUGCAGUGCAAUAGGAAUUUCUAGGGCGAAUGAUGGCUUCCCGUGAGCGUUGUUGCCUCGCGGUUGGUUGAAAAUCGAGUCCUUGGUAGGGUGUGCCAUGGUAGAUGGUGGUCGAGUUAGAACGAUACCGAUCAUGUGCAUGCUCCCCAAAAUAUGGCCUCUAUGACCCACACGCGUCUUUUGACGCUCAUGACGAGACCUCAGGUCAGGCGGGGCUACCCGCUGAAUUUAAGCAUAUCAAUAAGCGGAGGA